This 380-nucleotide ribosomal RNA is filed under the name Pinna nobilis. RNAcentral describes it as "partial 16S ribosomal RNA". It matches the Rfam family "Bacterial large subunit ribosomal RNA", at positions 1968 to 2574 of the family's 2925-position model. The record is from RNAcentral. Lineage: Eukaryota; Metazoa; Mollusca; Bivalvia; Pterioida; Pinnidae.
CUAGCCUUUUAAUUGGAGGCCUGCAUGAAUGGCUUGACGAGCGCCCUGCUGUCUCUCUUCCCAUGAACUUUUAAAUUAACUUUCGCGUGCAAAGGCGCGAAUGGCUGAGUUAGACGAAAAGACCCUAUGCAUCUUUACUGAGAGAGAAGAAAGUUCUUUAGCUUGGUUUAGCUGGGGCAGCUGAGGAAAAGGCAAAAUUUCCUUAAUAUAAAUCAUACUGGUGGGUUUAGAUCCAGGCUCUUUAGCGGGCUUGACAAGUAGAAAAGUUACGCUAGGGAUAACAGCGUUAUCCUUCUGUGGAGGUCUUAUCUGCAGGAGGGAUUGCGACCUCGAUGUUGAAUUAGGGAUAUACCAGAAAGGCGCAGAAGCUUUUAUUGUGG